Molecule: transfer RNA, 68 nt
Filed under: Oncopsis nigrofasciata
Lineage: Eukaryota; Metazoa; Arthropoda; Insecta; Hemiptera; Cicadellidae
Description: tRNA-Trp
Source: RNAcentral
AAGACUUUAAGUUAGCUUAAACUAUUAACCUUCAAAGUUAAAAAAAUCCAAACUUCAGGUAAGUUUUA